UGAGUAAUGUCUGGGAAACUGCCUGAUGGAGGGGGAUAACUACUGGAAACGGUAGCUAAUACCGCAUAACGUCGCAAGACCAAAGAGGGGGACCUUCGGGCCUCUUGCCAUCGGAUGUGCCCAGAUGGGAUUAGCUAGUAGGUGGGGUAACGGCUCACCUAGGCGACGAUCCCUAGCUGGUCUGAGAGGAUGACCAGCCACACUGGAACUGAGACACGGUCCAGACUCCUACGGGAGGCAGCAGUGGGGAAUAUUGCACAAUGGGCGCAAGCCUGAUGCAGCCAUGCCGCGUGUAUGAAGAAGGCCUUCGGGUUGUAAAGUACUUUCAGCGGGGAGGAAGGGAGUAAAGUUAAUACCUUUGCUCAUUGACGUUACCCGCAGAAGAAGCACCGGCUAACUCCGUGCCAGCAGCCGCGGUAAUACGGAGGGUGCAAGCGUUAAUCGGAAUUACUGGGCGUAAAGCGCACGCAGGCGGUUUGUUAAGUCAGAUGUGAAAUCCCCGGGCUCAACCUGGGAACUGCAUCUGAUACUGGCAAGCUUGAGUCUCGUAGAGGGGGGUAGAAUUCCAGGUGUAGCGGUGAAAUGCGUAGAGAUCUGGAGGAAUACCGGUGGCGAAGGCGGCCCCCUGGACGAAGACUGACGCUCAGGUGCGAAAGCGUGGGGAGCAAACAGGAUU
RNAcentral lists this ribosomal RNA (676 nucleotides) under Shigella flexneri. RNAcentral describes it as "bacterial SSU rRNA". It matches the Rfam family "Bacterial small subunit ribosomal RNA", at positions 107 to 779 of the family's 1533-position model. The record is from RNAcentral. Lineage: Bacteria; Pseudomonadati; Pseudomonadota; Gammaproteobacteria; Enterobacterales; Enterobacteriaceae.